This 253-nucleotide ribosomal RNA is filed under the name uncultured bacterium. RNAcentral's name for it is "partial 16S ribosomal RNA". It matches the Rfam family "Bacterial small subunit ribosomal RNA", at positions 524 to 776 of the family's 1533-position model. The record is from RNAcentral.
UACGGAGGGUGCGAGCGUUAAUCGGAAUCACUGGGCGUAAAGCGCGCGUAGGCGGCUUUUCAAGUCAGGGGUGAAAUCCCACGGCCCAACCGUGGAACUGCCUUUGAAACUGUAGAGCUUGAGUGUCGGAGAGGGUGGCGGAAUUCCAGGUGUAGGAGUGAAAUCCGUAGAUAUCUGGAGGAACACCGGUGGCGAAGGCGGAUGACUGGACGGCAACUGACGGUGAGACGCGAAAGCGUGGGGAGCAAACAGG